GACGAACGCUGGCGGUGUGCUUAACACAUGCAAGUCGAACGGUAAGGCCCUUUCGGGGGUACACGAGUGGCGAACGGGUGCGUAACACGUGAGUAACCUGCCCUCAUCUCUGGGAUAACAGUCGGAAACGGUUGCUAAUACUGGAUAUGAGCUUGCAAGGCAUCUUGUGGGUUGGAAAGAUUUUUUUGGUUGGGGAUGGACUCGCGGCCUAUCAGCUUGUUGGUGAGGUAGUGGCUCACCAAGGCUUCGACGGGUAGCCGGCCUGAGAGGGCGACCGGCCACAUUGGGACUGAGAUACGGCCCAAACUCCUACGGGAGGCAGCAGUGGGGAAUAUUGAACAAUGGACGGAAGUCUGAUGCAGCAACGCCGCGUGCGGGAUGACGGCCUUCGGGUUGUAAACCGCUUUCAAUUGUGACGAAGCUUUUUGUGACGGUAGCAGUAGAAGAAGCACCGGCUAACUACGUG
This 466-nucleotide ribosomal RNA is filed under the name uncultured bacterium. Its description in RNAcentral is "partial 16S ribosomal RNA". It matches the Rfam family "Bacterial small subunit ribosomal RNA", at positions 28 to 507 of the family's 1533-position model. The record is from RNAcentral.